GGGGACUCGGGUAGUGGCGCACGGGUGCGUAACGCGUGGGAACCUGCCUUUAGGUUCGGAAUAACUCAGAGAAAUUUGAGCUAAUACCGGAUAAUGUCUUCGGACCAAAGAUUUAUCGCCUUUAGAUGGGCCCGCGUUAGAUUAGAUAGUUGGUGGGGUAAUGGCCUACCAAGUCGACGAUCUAUAGCUGGUCUGAGAGGAUGAUCAGCCACACUGGGACUGAGACACGGCCCAGACUCCUACGGGAGGCAGCAGUGGGGAAUAUUGGACAAUGGGCGAAAGCCUGAUCCAGCAAUGCCGCGUGAGUGAUGAAGGCCUUAGGGUUGUAAAGCUCUUUUACCAGGGAUGAUAAUGACAGUACCUGGAGAAUAAGCUCCGGCUAACUCCGUGCCAGCAGCCGCGGUAAUACGGAGGGAGCUAGCGUUGUUCGGAAUUACUGGGCGUAAAGCGCGCGUAGGCGGCUUUUCAAGUCAGGGGUGAAAUCCCGGGGCUCAACCUCGGAACUGCCCUUGAAACUGGAUGGCUAGAAUACUGGAGAGGUGAGUGGAAUUCCGAGUGUAGAGGUGAAAUUCGUAGAUAUUCGGAAGAACACCAGUGGCGAAGGCGACUCACUGGACAGUUAUUGACGCUGAGGUGCGAAAGCGUGGGGA
RNAcentral lists this ribosomal RNA (650 nucleotides) under uncultured bacterium. Its description in RNAcentral is "bacterial SSU rRNA". It matches the Rfam family "Bacterial small subunit ribosomal RNA", at positions 82 to 767 of the family's 1533-position model. The record is from RNAcentral.